UGCGCCCUACGGGGGGCAGCAGUGAGGAAUAUUGGUCAAUGGCCGAGAGGCUGAACCAGCCAAGUCGCGUGAGGGAUGACGGCCCUACGGGUUGUAAACCUCUUUUGUCGGGGAGCAAGACCCGCCUCGUGCAGGCGGAGCGAGAGUACCCGAAGAAAAAGCAUCGGCAAACUCCGUGCCAGCAGCCGCGGUAAUACGGAGGAUGCGAGCGUUAUCCGGAUUUAUUGGGUUUAAAGGGUGCGCAGGCGGACGAUCAAGUCAGCGGUAAAAUCGUGGGGCCCACCCCCACACGGCAG
Molecule: ribosomal RNA, 296 nt
Filed under: uncultured bacterium
Lineage: Bacteria
Description: partial 16S ribosomal RNA
Rfam family: Bacterial small subunit ribosomal RNA
Source: RNAcentral